Long non-coding RNA from Rosa chinensis, 492 nucleotides. RefSeq lists it as uncharacterized. The transcript has 2 exons. NCBI's taxonomy places the organism in Eukaryota, Viridiplantae, Streptophyta, Magnoliopsida, Rosales, Rosaceae. The record is from RefSeq and is a predicted model, not a curated record.
AUCAUAUCUACAUUCUAGUCUUAUAAAUCAAAUAUAAUCAGAUUCUGUUCGAUGGGUGAUGGGUCCAUCAGGAUCGAUUGUUACUUUUCCUGAUACAGUUGGUUUACCAACCAUAUUUGACCCCAAGCCUUGCAGUUACCCUCCUCCCCGUGAGAAGUGCGCCGGACCAUUUUGUACAGACCCAUACAAGUACAGGGAUUCCCAAUCAAAGCUCCCUCUCUGCAGUCUCCAGUGCUGCAAGGCAGUUCACGAAAAGAUGCCUUCUCUAUCUGCCUGUUAAUUCAGUGAAUUCGGUUUUGCAGCGAAUCUCAUAUGUUGUGGAUAUUCCUGCAGCGAAUCUCAUAUGUACUCUUAAUUUAAUAGAUGUAGUCUUUCUAAAAACCAAAUAUGUAUAUACACUGUAACGUCAUGAAGAUUGAAGUGAUUUUAGCACAGUUACACACAUGAUAUGAAUAAUAAAUAAUGAAUAAAACUAGUAUUACAUCCAACAUG